GCUGGAGUAGUUUAGUUGGUUAGAGCAUGUGGCUGUUAACCACAAGGUCGAAGGUUCAAGUGCUUCUCUAGCG
Ipomoea nil (Japanese morning glory) is the source of this 73-nucleotide transfer RNA. It matches the Rfam family "tRNA". From Rfam's summary of the family: Transfer RNA (tRNA) molecules are approximately 80 nucleotides in length. Their secondary structure includes four short double-helical elements and three loops (D, anti-codon, and T loops). Further hydrogen bonds mediate the characteristic L-shaped molecular structure. tRNAs have two regions of fundamental functional importance: the anti-codon, which is responsible for specific mRNA codon recognition, and the 3' end, to which the tRNAs corresponding amino acid is attached (by aminoacyl-tRNA synthetases). tRNAs cope with the degeneracy of the genetic code in two manners: having more than one tRNA (with a specific anti-codon) for a particular amino acid; and 'wobble' base-pairing, i.e. permitting non-standard base-pairing at the 3rd anti-codon position. Lineage: Eukaryota; Viridiplantae; Streptophyta; Magnoliopsida; Solanales; Convolvulaceae. The record is from Rfam.